This 72-nucleotide transfer RNA is filed under the name Camelus bactrianus (Bactrian camel). It matches the Rfam family "tRNA". From Rfam's summary of the family: Transfer RNA (tRNA) molecules are approximately 80 nucleotides in length. The record is from Rfam by way of RNAcentral. Lineage: Eukaryota; Metazoa; Chordata; Mammalia; Artiodactyla; Camelidae. RNAcentral also lists the same sequence under 2 other names.
GAGGGUGUAGCUCAGUGGGAGAGCGCGUGCUUAGCAUGCACAAGGCCCUGGGUUCCAUCCCCAGUACCUCCA